CUAGAAACAAAAUUUUUCUAGAGUAAAUCUUUUUAGACUAUGUGUUUGGUUCUGUUACUGGCUCCUAAGGAAAAGAAAUUGCAAUAAUAUAGGUCUUUCUAAAAAGAAAUAAUUCAGGAUUAGGAUUCCUAUAAGAAUUAGAAUAAUGUAGAAAAUCAAGAAAUAAAUUAGGAUGACCAAACAAUUAAGAUGGUGAAACCUCUGAGACCAAAUCCUUGUCCCAGCUCUACCCUGUUCCCAACUGCUCACAGAAUGGAUCAUGUGCCCCUUAUGUUGAAGUGACCACUUAUUUGCUCUUCUGCCUCCUUGAAAGAAAGGAAAGAAAGUUAUGUUUUGCCACUGAUUUAGCCAUAUGAAACUCAUCACCCUUUUCUGGGUCUGAAGCUGCUGUCUCUAAAAGUGCCAUCUCAUUGUGCUUUGUAUCGGUUAGUGCUGGAGAAAUCUUGAAAAGCAUAUGUACAAACCUUUAAAUUUUUUCUAUUAUUUUGGAACUUUGCUGCUUUGGGGUUGAGGCACACUGGUCACCCCUCUGCCUGUGAGAGCUCUCUGCAGUCUGUGGGCUAGCAGUGUGGUGAUCUUUUCAAGUUUCUUUCCCUACCCAAUCCCCCUUUUCUGAUGAGGUUUCAGUGAGGUCUGCUAGGUGUGCAACCUGCAGCUUAAUUGGCUUAAAAUGUUCUCUCCUUUGGUGUGGUCUCUUUGGGGACCAACUGGGAGGAAAAAAAAAAAAACAGUAGUGUAACUGUUUUGAUACUGAAAAUUGAUAAAUGUCUUUUUGAAAUAAAGAACCAGUUCCUCCAAAAAAUAAAAAAAGAAAUUAGGAGUGAAAAUGUCCAUUAGAUUAAUUUGAUGAUUCUAGACAUGAGAAUCUGUAAGUUAUUUUCUCUCAUUUUGUCCUCAUUUUUAAGUCUCAAACAAUGAAACCUCCAUCACUUGAAUCUGAUUCGGUAAUGUAUGUACAGCUAUUUAUUCAUUCAACAAUUGUUCAGAGUCAUUUGCCUCUGAUACCAGCCUCUUCAGUGUCAUCAAAAUGAAUUUGAUUUAGAUAACAAUUAAGCAUGUAGGAGAAACAUAAGUUUUCCCACUGAUUUAGAAGAUCAUGAAAUGAAGCAGAACAAAAAGUUAUAAUUUAGUAUAAUUAAGUUCCUAUUUGUGAAUGUUGUCCUAAAGAAGUGUUUAGUACCGCUUGGUUAUUUUGCCAGGGGAAUGACAAUGUAAACAAAAGCUUAAACGUCCUAUCCUAGAGAAGUUAAAUGUGGUCAUAUUCAAAUACUUAAAAAUUGGCUUGGCUUAAAGUUGUGUGACCUUAAGUAAAUUGCUCUCUUCAAGUCUCACUGUAAAUUGUAAGUAAAAGGUCUGUCUUGUCCUAAAUUUUUAUAAUCCUAAGACAGAGUCAGUCUACAAUGUAUUUAUUUUAUAAAUAAUUCUGUAUACUGACAUGUUACUCUUUAAUCUUGCAGACUUAGGUGGAAACCUCAGUUAUCACCUUAGAAUUUUGGAUAUUACAUAUUUACCUUUUCCAUUCUAGAAAAAAUUUUAGACUUUUUUCCCACGCUUUUGUCAGAUUGUAACCUUGACUAUAUGAAACAUAGCCAAGAGAAAGAAAAACAGCUCCAUGGAAACUUGGAGAAGGAGAGGCAUGUACUCAUUCUUAUUUUUGAAAAAUAAGAAAAAAUUUUAAUGUUUAUCAGAUAAAGCAUUUAAUUGAAUUAAUGGAACAGUGUGAAGUAUUGGAUAUUUAGUCAACUGGAGUUUACAGUGACCUUAAACCUUGUUUGAAUAUUUUGUAAAGCAGUAAUAAAAAUUACAAAAUUUCAGUAUAUUUUCUCUUAAGCAAUAUGCUAAAUGUUAAAUUUUAUGUAAGGAUCAAGUCAUAUAAAAUAUUAUAAUAGGUAUAGAACUUUCAAGAGUAGUGUUUAAUGUGUUUUAAGCCAUAAUGUCCAAAAGGUGUUUGGUUAUAAUUUUUCUUAAAGUUUACUUUUUUCUUGAAGUAGAGUGCAAGAGACAAAUACAGGUGGAUUCAAUUUGAAGAAUUCCGGUUUCCUUUAAGCAAAAUUUCACUAUUUCAAACUGAACAAAAUUAUAUUGUAUUCGUAAUUUGACAACACACUUGAAAUGUGUACAGUCUAAAGGAUUCAAAUUUCAAACCUUUCAAUUAUAAUCUAUUGGCGGGCAAGCAAGGCCACAACUAAGUAUUAAUACUUGUAAAUCUCUCCUAUUGCCAGAAAUUGUAUCAGAAGGGAUUGGAUUAUCAAGAAUGGCUGCUAUGUUCUGUUUUGCUCUGGGCUGUGUGGCAUGAAGGAUCUUAUUUCCCCAAUCAGGGAACCCAUGGAUCGAACCUGUGCCACCUGUAGUGGAAGCAGAGUCAAAAGCACUGGACCACCAGGGAAAUCCCAAGAAUGGCGACUGGUUUUGAUCAUGGCACUUGUUUUGACAUCACCACUGCCCCCAUCAAAAAAAAAAAAAAAAAAUCAUAUCUUGUGUACGUAGACCAUGUGGAGAAAGGACUGAGACCAGAAGCAGAAAACAGACAUUGUCCAUACAGAGCAAAGUGCCAGACAACAGCUCGUUCUAGUAAAAGGCAAUAAAUGCCACAUGUGAUGAUCUCCUCAGUUCAAAACUUUACAUCUGACUUACGUGCCAGGUCUGAUGACUUCUACUAUCUUUUCAUGACUUCUAAAUUAUGGAGGGACUCUGUUCACUGGAUCUAAUCCCCUGAAUCUAUUCAUCACCUCCACUGUAUAUUCACUUCCGCUGUUUGGCACUGUGGGGGAAUAUAAAGACCGGUAUGAAGCACAAUCCCAGUCCUCGUCUUAAAAGAACUCAUGGAACCGCAGACAUUGCAACCAGACUUUCUUGGGGUGUUUUUACAAGAAGGGCGACCCCGAGGAGCCGGCGGUGAAGCCAGGAGCGCUUGGUAGCGGAGCAGGUUUCCUGCAGCCCGGCCGCGCUGGCCCGGCCCCGGCCGCCCACCCGCACGCCAUUCCCCCACCUCCGG
Capra hircus (goat) is the source of this 2995-nucleotide long non-coding RNA. RefSeq lists it as uncharacterized. The transcript is spliced from 5 exons. Lineage: Eukaryota; Metazoa; Chordata; Mammalia; Artiodactyla; Bovidae. The record is from RefSeq and is a predicted model, not a curated record.